CAUUAAGUGAUCCACCUGGGGAGUACGUCGGCAACGAUGAAACUCAAAGGAAUUGACGGGGGCCCGCACAAGCGGAGGAACAUGUGGUUUAAUUCGAUGAUACGCGAGGAACCUUACCUGGGUUUAAAUGUAGGUUGCAUGGAGGGGAAACUCUCCUUUCCUACGGGACUACUUACAAGGUGCUGCAUGGUUGUCGUCAGCUCGUGCCGUGAGGUGUCGGGUUAAGUCCCAUAACGAGCGCAACCCCUAUUGUUAGUUACCAGCACGUUAAGGUGGGGACUCUAGCAAGACUGCCGGUGUAAACCGCGAGGAAGGUGGGGAUGACGUCAAAUCAGCACGGCCCUUAUAUCCAGGGCUACACACGUGUUACAAUGGCCAGUACAAAGAGCAGCCACUUGGUGACAAGGCGCUAAUCCCGAAAGCUGGUCACAGUUCGGAUCGAAGUCUGCAACUCGACUUCGUGAAGUUGGAUUCGCUAGUAAUCGCGCAUCAGCCACGGCGCGGUGAAUACGUUCCCGGGCCUUGUACACACCGCCCGUC
Molecule: ribosomal RNA, 540 nt
Filed under: uncultured bacterium
Lineage: Bacteria
Description: bacterial SSU rRNA
Rfam family: Bacterial small subunit ribosomal RNA
Source: RNAcentral